Molecule: small nuclear RNA, 107 nt
Organism: Dipodomys spectabilis (banner-tailed kangaroo rat)
Lineage: Eukaryota; Metazoa; Chordata; Mammalia; Rodentia; Heteromyidae
Source: RefSeq, a predicted model, not a curated record
GUGCUCAAUUCAGCUACACAUACACUAACAUUGAAACAAUACAGAGAAGAGUACCAUGGCACUUGUGCAAGGACGAUAUGCAAAUUCGUGGUGUGUUCCAUAUUUUU